RNAcentral lists this ribosomal RNA (253 nucleotides) under uncultured bacterium. Its description in RNAcentral is "partial 16S ribosomal RNA". It matches the Rfam family "Bacterial small subunit ribosomal RNA", at positions 524 to 776 of the family's 1533-position model. The record is from RNAcentral.
UACGUAGGGGGCUAGCGUUGUCCGGAUUUAUUGGGCGUAAAGAGCGUGUAGGCGGCCAGGUAGGUCUGGUGUGAAAACUCGAGGCUUAACCUCGAGAUGUCAUCGGAAACCAUCUGGCUAGAGUCCGGAAGAGGAGAGUGGAAUUCCUGGUGUAGCGGUGAAAUGCGCAGAUAUCAGGAAGAACACCAAUGGCGAAAGCAGCUCUCUGGGACGGUACUGACGCUGAGGAGCGAAAGCUAGGGGAGCAAACGGG